UACGAAAAUGAUGAAGUCAAUAUCUUGCCAGCUCGUCUAUACCUUCAUCGCCACCUACUUUUUCAAACAAGGCAACCACUCAACCACGUAAACUAAAUCUCAGCCCUCAAUCAUUCAACUAAACUACCAAUCCUGGCCGUCUAUUCUCCCAGAUCCUCUAUAUAGUCACACACCCGCCCAUCAUUCUUUAUCUGCCUUAGCAGCUAAGCCCUAAUAUUCGUAGAUCCACUCUCCACGGUACCUCAUUCGAUCUUUUUGAUUCUAGCUUAGCCUAGAUCGCUUUGCGAUCUAUAUAUUGAUACCAGAUUUGAUAUUCGAAGCUCAUCCGAUGCUUCAACUCUAUGAUUUAACGGUCUGCUAUCUGGUUUGAUCGGAGAUCGAUAUGCAGCGGAGAUCUGUUUCUAUGGGUCUAAUUUUCAGGGGAUAUAUCCCGUCGGUGUGCAAGCAGAAGAUGACUCGAGAUAUCAUUUGAAGGUGGAGCGAUAAGCAGUUACAGAAUCUCCGUUGCUUGAUCAUGUAACCUGAGCAGUGAUUUGUUGAUUGAUUGAGGAGUGAUGGAAGGAGAUAAGGGGUGGGGCUGUGUGUUUUGUUUAUGAGGAUGAUGUAUAAGAUACAUAUAUCGGGACCAAAAGGCCAGGAGGCUGAGAGGUCUUGUUUAUUAUCUGUCAUCCGACCUUUGCCAUGACAGGUGCGCUUGCAUGGCAGGUCACCCAUCAUCUUAAUAAAACUAUUAUUUUCGUGUUUUUGAGGGGAGAUCGCACGGUGAAUUGCCCGGGUUCUCCCCUCUGCUGUCCGUGUCCCGCUUUCUCUUACUUCUCGUUGACUUACGAUCCUUGCCUGAGAUCGCGCUGCCCUUUCACGAGGCACUCCAACUCCAGCUUAGCAAUCAAUUCACAUCUUCUGCACAAUGUUGCAAUUUGUGAAGCUGACUCCAAGGUAUUCUCUCUUUUAUAACUCCAAUACGAAUUUCUUAUUUUUAGAAACAGCCAGUCAUAUUUCCAAGACUUAGAACAAACAUAAAAAAAAAAGAAUCAUAUUGUUUUUUUUAUUAUUAUCAUUGCAACCUGUUUUUCAUCUCUUAUCGGAUAUUUGGCCCCGUCAAAUAUAAAUCUUUGAUACAGUGGGCUAUCAAGAUAAUGCAACCAAAACUGGUUUCAACGCAAGAUUGGCAGUUACUAUAUAGCACCAAAACUAAGAGGUACUGAAUCUUAGGUUUGAUUUAUCAGGGUUCAUUUUUUAGUCUGUAAUACACGAAAGCACUUGCUCCCUACAACAACCCGUUAUUGCGUGGUAACAAUCAAGUUUAUUUCAUUAACAACGCGACCACUGCAAACGCAACCUAAGCAUAUCUGUGAUUCUUACAAACCAACCAUGGGCAUGAGGUUUGUUAUUUGGAUCUAGUUAAUCGGUUUCCUUUUCCUGUUAUCCUGUGCAAAACUAUUGUAUAAACAGCUUUGCUUUCGCUAUUUACAAUUAAGAUCUGGUUUUCAAGUAUGUAAAUUAGAAUAUUGUGCCCUGUGAUAUCCCUACCUUGGAGCUGUUUUCAAGUGUUUCUACUCUGUAUUGUUAUUUGCAACUGGCUCCUGUUGUUUGGUUCAUUGGAUCUCAAGUGAUGUAGCCUGAAGAUUGUGGUGUUGAAGAUGGGAUCUGUAGACCCCAUUGGAUGAUUGUUGGGCUGCUUGACUUCAAUGACCAUGGCUUUUAGUGAAAAAGAGAGAGCGCAGGACCCUUCACAACAUUCUUUAUGAAGCUGCAUCACGCUAAAUCAGCUAUUGAGGUGAUCAAGUUUUUCUCAAUGGUUCAAGAUUUGCGUUGCUACUUUUUGAUUAAUUUAGUUUGAGGUUGUCUUAAUGCAAUUUGCAGUUGGACAUUAAUAUAUUAGAUACAGACCUCGUUCUAGUCGUCAUAAUGCUAGUUUUUGGAAGCUGGAAAUGCCUUGUUUUCUCAAGCUUUGACAUUAGUUCGAGAUGUUUUAUCUGACGGUGUUUUCUUGCUUUACUUGUAUGUGUUUGCUCUCUAGACGUAGCUGUUUUGUUGAAAAUAUGUGGAGUUAUCUUUCCUUUGAUCGAUUUGAAGAAGAAAGCGGUCUUUCUUUUUGAAGCAUUUCCUGGAAUUAUGUAUUAUGUCCGAAGCUUUAUCGUUAUCUUCUUUCUCUCCUUGUUUGUCAGGUUUGCAAUCGAUCCUGAUAGUCUUGAAUUUGGCAGUCAAGAAUUGCGUUUCUUAAACCACGAUUUUCUAACAGGAGUUGGAGAAAUCAUUUGUGUAAAUUCACUUUUAUCUUAUAUAUGCACAAGAUGUUGGUUCCAGUCA
Populus trichocarpa (black cottonwood) is the source of this 2310-nucleotide long non-coding RNA. RefSeq lists it as uncharacterized. The transcript has 2 exons. The record is from RefSeq and is a predicted model, not a curated record. NCBI's taxonomy places the organism in Eukaryota, Viridiplantae, Streptophyta, Magnoliopsida, Malpighiales, Salicaceae.